Molecule: transfer RNA, 105 nt
Filed under: Desulfurococcus amylolyticus DSM 16532
Lineage: Archaea; Thermoproteati; Thermoproteota; Thermoprotei; Desulfurococcales; Desulfurococcaceae
Description: tRNA-Pro
Source: RNAcentral
GGGCCCGUCGUCUAGCCUGGACUAGGAUGCGGGGUUCGGGACCUCGAGCCGCUGAAGAGGCGGAACUCCCCGUGACCCGGGGUUCAAAUCCCCGCGGGCCCACUA